AAGUCGAGCGAACAGACGAGGAGCUUGCUCCUUCGACGUUAGCGGCGGACGGGUGAGUAACACGUAGGUAACCUACCUAUAAGACUGGGAUAACUUCGGGAAACCGGAGCUAAUACCGGAUAAUAUUUCGAACCGCAUGGUUCGAUAGUGAAAGAUGGCUUUGCUAUCACUUAUAGAUGGACCUGCGCCGCAUUAGCUAGUUGGUAAGGUAACGGCUUACCAAGGCAACGAUACGUAGCCGACCUGAGAGGGUGAUCGGCCACACUGGAACUGAGACACGGUCCAGACUCCUACGGGAGGCAGCAGUAGGGAAUCUUCCGCAAUGGGCGAAAGCCUGACGGAGCAACGCCGCGUGAGUGAUGAAGGUCUUCGGAUCGUAAAACUCUGUUAUUAGGGAAGAACAAACGUGUAAGUAACUGUGCACGUCUUGACGGUACCUAAUCAGAGAGCCACGGCUAACUACGUGCCAGCAGCCGCGGUAAUACGUAGGUGGCAAGCGUUAUCCGGAAUUAUUGGGCGUAAAGCGCGCGUAGGCGGUUUUUUAAGUCUGAUGUGAAAGCCCACGGCUCAACCGUGGAGGGUCAUUGGAAACUGGAAAACUUGAGUGUAGAAGAGGAAAGUGGAAUUCCAUGUGUAGCGGUGAAAUGCGCAGAGAUAUGGAGGAACACCAGUGGCGAAGGCGACUUUCUGGUCUGUAACUGACGCUGAUGUGCGAAAGCGUGGGGAUCAAACAGGA
This 736-nucleotide ribosomal RNA is filed under the name uncultured Staphylococcus sp. RNAcentral describes it as "bacterial SSU rRNA". It matches the Rfam family "Bacterial small subunit ribosomal RNA", at positions 59 to 777 of the family's 1533-position model. Lineage: Bacteria; Bacillati; Bacillota; Bacilli; Caryophanales; Staphylococcaceae. The record is from RNAcentral.